UUCGCAUCGUCAUACCUCCCUGUUGGACUUCGGCCGAGCUUUGUGCUCGGCCUUUUUU
Sagittula stellata E-37 is the source of this 58-nucleotide small RNA. It matches the Rfam family "Singlet oxygen resistance RNA X". Rfam says of the family: SorX (RSs2461)like SorY is a singlet oxygen induced sRNA that counteracts oxidative stress by targeting mRNA for a transporter in Rhodobacter. Lineage: Bacteria; Pseudomonadati; Pseudomonadota; Alphaproteobacteria; Rhodobacterales; Roseobacteraceae. The record is from Rfam.